RNAcentral lists this ribosomal RNA (497 nucleotides) under uncultured bacterium. Its description in RNAcentral is "partial 16S ribosomal RNA". It matches the Rfam family "Bacterial small subunit ribosomal RNA", at positions 28 to 507 of the family's 1533-position model. The record is from RNAcentral.
GAUGAACGCUGGCGGCGUGCCUAAUACAUGCCAGUCGAGCGAACAGACGAGGAGCUUGCUCCUCUGACGUUAGCGGCGGACGGGUGAGUAACACGUGGAUAACCUACCUAUAAGACUGGGAUAACUUCGGGAAACCGGAGCUAAUACCGGAUAAUAUAUUGAACCGCAUGGUUCAAUAGUGAAAGACGGUUUUGCUGUCACUUAUAGAUGGAUCCGCGCCGCAUUAGCUAGUUGGUAAGGUAACGGCUUACCAAGGCAACGAUGCGUAGCCGACCUGAGAGGGUGAUCGGCCACACUGGAACUGAGACACGGUCCAGACUCCUACGGGAGGCAGCAGUAGGGAAUCUUCCGCAAUGGGCGAAAGCUUGACGGAGCAACGCCGCGUGAGUGAUGAAGGUCUUCGGAUCGUAAAUCUCUGUUAUUAGGGAAGAACAAAUGUGUAAGUAACUAUGCACGUCUUGACGGUACCUAAUCAGAAAGCCACGGCUAACUACGUG